RNAcentral lists this long non-coding RNA (483 nucleotides) under Monodelphis domestica (gray short-tailed opossum). RNAcentral describes it as "lncRNA (ENSMODG00000032066.2)". The record is from RNAcentral. Lineage: Eukaryota; Metazoa; Chordata; Mammalia; Didelphimorphia; Didelphidae.
GACAGACAAGACGUGCUGGCCUCGCUUCUUUUGCUACAAAGAGCGGCCUCCUGGGCCUCCCACCUCCUGCGCGGCGCGGGGCCGCUCAGGCAGGCUCUGGCUCCGGCUCGGGCUCGGGCCAGUCUGCAGAAGGUGCUUCCGCCGAGCAGUCCACCAGCUGUGACUCUGGUUCUGAGAUCGCUGCAGGCCAGGAGGUGGCCAAAGGCAGCUCCAAGGGCAAGGGCAAAGCUGGCUCUGGCGCCAAGGCUGGCCAGCGAAGCCCCAACCCCAAGUCCUCCAAAGGGAAGGGCGAGGAUCAGGCAGGUGACCUCCUCUUUAGGGAGAACCCCCUGCAGGGGCUGCCCCCCUUCCCUAUAGCCCCCCUAGGAGGCUCCCACACCCCACCCCUCAGCAAAGCCUCCAAGUUGGGCUCCCUUAGCUCGCCUUGCUUUUCUCUGCAUAUUUAGCAAUAAAAAAGUUCUCUUGCUCCUUUGGUGACUUUUG